UGGGGAAUUUUGCACAAUGGGGGGAACCUUGAUGCAGCGACGCCGCGUGAGGGAUGGAGGCCUUCGGGUUGUGAACCUCUUUCGCUCGUGUGCAAGCCGCUAUUUGGGUAGUGGUGAGUGUAGCGGGUAAAGAAGCGCCGGCUAACUACGUGCCAGCAGCCGCGGUAAUACGUAGGGCGCGAGCGUUGUCCGGAUUUAUUGGGCGUAAAGCGAGCGCAGGCGGUCAAUUAAGUCUGAUGUGAAAGCCCCCGGCUCAACCGGGGAGGGUCAUUGGAAACUGGUUGACUUGAGUGCAGAAGAGGAGAGUGGAAUUCCAUGUGUAGCGGUGAAAUGCGUAGAUAUAUGGAGGAACACCAGGGGCGAAGGCGACUCUCUGGUCUGUAACUGACGCUGAGGCUCGAAAGCGUGGGUAGCAAACAGG
RNAcentral lists this ribosomal RNA (421 nucleotides) under Bacteroidota bacterium. RNAcentral describes it as "Bacteroidetes bacterium partial 16S ribosomal RNA". It matches the Rfam family "Bacterial small subunit ribosomal RNA", at positions 355 to 776 of the family's 1533-position model. Lineage: Bacteria; Pseudomonadati; Bacteroidota. The record is from RNAcentral.